UUUCGCAAUGCCCGAAAGGGUGACGAAGCGACGCCGCGUGCGGGAAGAAGGCCUUCGGGUUGUAAACCGCUGUCGGGAGUUAAGAAAUGUAAGGAUGUUAAUAGCAUCUUUGCUUGACUAAGGCUCCGGAGGAAGCCACGGCUAACUCUGUGCCAGCAGCCGCGGUAAUACAGAGGCGGCAAGCGUUGUUCGGAAUUAUUGGGCGUAAAGAGCACGUAGGCGGCUAUGUAAGUCGGUUGUGAAAGCCUUCCGCUCAACGGGAGAACAGCAUCCGAUACUGCAUGGCUUGAGUGCGGGAGGGGAGAGUGGAACUUCUAGUGGAGCGGUGAAAUGCGUAGAUAUCAGAAGGAACGCCGGCGGCGAAAGCGGCUCUCUGGCCCAUAACUGACGCUGAGUGUGCGAAAGCUAGGGGAGCAAACGGGAUUAGAUACCCCGGUAGUCCUAGCCGUAAACGAUGGGCACUAAGUAGAGGGGUUUUA
Molecule: ribosomal RNA, 479 nt
Filed under: uncultured anaerobic ammonium-oxidizing bacterium
Lineage: Bacteria
Description: bacterial SSU rRNA
Rfam family: Bacterial small subunit ribosomal RNA
Source: RNAcentral